AAGAGAAAAAAUACUGUCUGUCUUCUCUCACCAUUGUUGUCCCGAAUUAGAAAUUUGGUCAGGAGUAAGACUAGCUUGGUUAUGGUCAAUGUUAUCACAUUCUUCGCUACUUCUCUCUCUUUUCCACGUUGAAUGACUUACUGAUUUAUUUUCUCCACGUAUGCAAUGUUUGGCUCCUGCCUGGUGCACAAGAAGAUCUAGUUAUCAGAUCUCUUUUCCUCACUACCUUUGAAAAUUUUGAUUAUUACUUAAAUUGUAGUUCCCCUGACUUCUCUUUAGCUUGCUUUUCAAUUUAGACAACCAAUGGGCAAAUUUUAAUGUUUUGCCGUUCAGGAUAUAAUUUUUACACUCAGCCUAAUAGCUAAAUAAGCUUAGAAAUUUAGAAAAGGUAAAUUGGGCCACUUGGUACUUUUUCAUACAAGGAAAACAAAUUACUUGCGUGCUUGGGUGUUGCUUCUGGAGGAACUCGCGGGAGCAUUAAGCAGUCAGUACUGACUCUUAGAAUGACGUGAGUCUCUCCGCUCCUCUGAUGCCAACUUUCCAUCUUGCUGGGGUCGAAGAAGUCUGGGUCAGGGUGAAUAGGUACCAUCUUUGUUCUUAGAGGUGCGUGGUACGGGCCUUGUUCCUGAUGCACACAAGGGCUAUUUUAGUCAUUUGAACACAUCGGAAGAGUUUAGGUUAGAAUUUUAAAGAAACGUAUGAAUUCUCGUUCCCUUCAAAUCUCAAUUCUCCUCCAUGAUAUAAAAUGAUCUUCUUUAAAAAGAUCAUAAAAUGAUCCCAUCUUACCCGAUCCAAAUGCCGAACAACAAACGGUCCACAUUUACCACGAGGAAGAGGGUUAAAACGUGCUCUCCAAUGACAACUCCCAACCCGGAACAGAUUCCAGCCAGGCAGCUAGCAGAGCUCGCUGGGUAAACGGCACAGGCCAUCGUGGGUGCAGAGCUCAGAGCCGGAAAGCAAACAGCUGCUGUAGCCUGAUUUGAGUUAAAAUAGUGUGAGUGUUUAGUCUGGCGCACGGCUUCAGGGGAGAUUGGCAGCUGGGUCAAACAAAGUCCUUCCAUUGGCUCUCUUCCCAGGCAGCUUCUGCUAGUAUUUAGGUACUAGUGCAGUGGAAGGCCCUUUUCUCAGGCAAAACCUAACAUCUGACCGCACCCUCUCUGCUUUUUCAAAAAAAAAAAAAAAAAAAGCUUCUUUUUCCUUCUUUCGUUAAGAUAAAUUCUCCAGUAGACAACCUCUCCCACUAAUUGUGUAUUAGCAAUGUAUUUUAUCUUGAGAGCUGACGCACUGGGCUCUCGACGUGGUGUGGAAAGCAGCCUGUUACAGUGCUGGAUUCAUAAAAGGGUCUUUAUGGUUUGUGAAAGAAUAUCUGUGUGCUUGGGCAGGAAACUUUUUGAUCUGCAGAAAAGCCAGAAGACAUCUAGGAUAUCCUUGAAGAUUAAUCAGAGAACCUUUCAUUCACCCAUAAAGGAGAAUCUGUCAUCACACAUACAGAAGAUAUGCAGACCUGGAGGACAGCACCACACCAGCACAACCACAACAUCCUUAAGUUACACUUGGACUUCAGUUGAACGUAUUCAUUUGACUACAGAGAAACACUGCUAUCAAGUGAUGUGGUUGCUAAAAGAGAACACUGAACAGGUGUUCUCAGUUCUGAUUGUCAUGCUUCCCAGCAGUACGCCCCAUAUUGUCUCAGAUCUGGAGCCGGUGUUGACUGGACACCUUUGGUUCAUGUUUUGCCUUUUUCCUAAGGCUUUACCACUUACUUCCAGGGACGCAAUUGGUGAAGUCAUGUGAAUGUUACUGUGUCAAGAGAGCCCUCAUGGUGCCUCCCAUUGAGUAGAAAGGAAUACCUGGGCUAUUUAUGACUUUGUUGCUUAAAUCUUCUAAUAAAAACUUCUAUUUUGCUAAGCAGAUUUUCGUAUAGCCCUUCAUUCCCAUGAAAUGUAAAAUCAGUUAAUAUAUAAGUCAUGGCAACUGAAUGGGCAAGAAAGAUGCCAGACUUCCAUGACUACCAUGCUUAAUAUGUGAG
Long non-coding RNA from Equus asinus (donkey), 2029 nucleotides. NCBI's taxonomy places the organism in Eukaryota, Metazoa, Chordata, Mammalia, Perissodactyla, Equidae. The record is from Ensembl.